RNAcentral lists this ribosomal RNA (445 nucleotides) under uncultured bacterium. RNAcentral's name for it is "bacterial SSU rRNA". It matches the Rfam family "Bacterial small subunit ribosomal RNA", at positions 28 to 507 of the family's 1533-position model. The record is from RNAcentral.
GACGAACGCUGGCGGCGUGCUUAACACAUGCAAGUCGAACGGAGAACUUUCUUCGGAAUGUUCUUAGUGGCGAACGGGUGAGUAAUGCAUCGGAACGUGUCCUGUUGUGGGGGAUAACUGAUCGAAAGAUCAGCUAAUACCGCAUGAGACCUGAGGGUCAAAGGCGCAAGUCGCCUGUGGAGGAACCUGCGUUCGAUUAGCUAGUUGGUGGGGUAAAGGCCUACCAAGGCGAUGAUCGAUAGCUGGUUUGAGAGGAUGAUCAGCCACACUGGGACUGAGACACGGCCCAGACUCCUACGGGAGGCAGCAGUGGGGAAUAUUGGACAAUGGGCGAAAGCCUGAUCCAGCAAUGCCGCGUGUGUGAAGAAGGUCUUCGGAUUGUAAAGCACUUUCGACGGGGACGAUGAUGACGGUACCCGUAGAAGAAGCCCCGGCUAACUUCGUG